This is a long non-coding RNA of Scophthalmus maximus (turbot), 981 nucleotides long. RefSeq lists it as uncharacterized. NCBI's taxonomy places the organism in Eukaryota, Metazoa, Chordata, Actinopteri, Pleuronectiformes, Scophthalmidae. The transcript is spliced from 3 exons. The record is from RefSeq and is a predicted model, not a curated record.
GAGGAGGAGGAAGAGGAGGAGGAAGAGGAGGAGGAGGAGGAAGAGGAGGAAGAGGAGGAGGAAGAGGAGGAGGAGGAGGAAGAGGAGGAGUUCAUCUGAGGAAUGCAGCUCGUCUGCAUGACAAGUGAUGCAGCUGUGAGAGUUGUGGGAGGUGAUUCCUCCGUCUUCCUCCUUCGUCUCUACUUUUAAAACUGAAUCUAAUUUGCACUUUGAGAUUUUGCUCUUCAAUGUGAAGUCAGAGCAAAAACAAUGUCACAUUUCUCUUUUUCUUUUGCUCAUGAAAUUGGAAAUACAAACUUUUCACCUGUUUUUGUCAGCGUCUGUUCAUCAGCGAGUCGCGUUGUGAUAAAACUACAGGAGCGAUUUCCGAGACAUUUUGAGGGAGGGGCGGGGCAACGACCCGAGGACGAACCAGGAUCCAGGAUUCUUUCUUCACUUCCUCCAACAUGGCGAGGAGAGGGGACGUUCCCUCCGAGGGCCCUUCUACUUAUUGUUCUCAAAAUGUAUUUCAUCUGUACAAGUUGAAACCCUGAACAUCGCACUCUUACUUUACACAUAGUGAAACUUUCUUCUUCUUUCUUUGCCUCAGUUUCUCUAUGAACAGUGAUGUCACCGUGAAACCGGGCCCCUCCCACCAUGAGCAACGAGCAGCGACUCCGCCUUAUCUACAGCAUUAUCUUGACUUCAGGCGAGUGACCAAUGGGAAGCCUCUCGUCCCUUUGGCCUGUAUUGAUUGGAGACUUCAUGAGCUUUGGGCGCCCCCUUGUGGCUGUUCACUCAAGUGGCAACAGGAUGAAAAGCUCCUGAACAGUUUUCCAGUCAACUUGGUGGAAGGACGGAACAUACAGCUAGAAAUAAUCCUUGACAUGUUGGUGUGGAUCUGGACAAAGGGGCGGGGCCAGGAGUCUGAUCUCUUUCUUUAACAUUGUGAGGUUAUUUAACAUGUUCACUGAUUUCACAAUUAAAACAACUCAUCCUUGU